AGAACGGGUAGUCAUGGGACUGUCAUCAUGUGCUGUCCAGGUUAACAUGUAGCAUUUCUAUUACUAUUAACAGACUUUCUGCUCCUCACUCCAUCUGUUCUCUGAAAUAAUUGCAGUUGUACAGACCAUGCCUUCGCUACAGGCAAGCUCUGGGGAAGAGGAUAGUGCUUUUAUGAGAAAAAAAAAAAGUGUUAAAAAAUAACAGCAAACAUGAGAAGAGAGUGGGAAUGAAGCUAACAGCAGGUUUCCAAUUUCUUUCGGAUUCCGGCCUGCAAAGGUGGCGUUUUCACACUUGUUUGGGGUGACCAAGCCCAGCCAGAUGGGGAUUACCCUAUAAACUGAUCAGGAUUUUCCAGAUCUACUUUAAAACUAGACUCAGUGAAUCAUCAAGACUGAGGGGCCUUUAUCUAAGAAUUUUUGAAAUACACAGACCUCCAUCCUUGGAAGAGCACAGUAGACCCGCUUUUCUCUGUGUCCUCAAAAUGUCACUCUUUCAUCGUCACUGGCCCCUCAGAGAUGCAAGAAGAGACACCAUACUCAAGAGGCAGAUUGGUUUAGCAGGAGGGCAACAGCCUGGGAAGUGCUGGGACCAAGAAUUCUGAUGCCACGUGACAUGAAUCAAUCCCUUCUUCCCUCUGUGCCUCCUUCUCCAGGGUGGAAAAGGUAAAAUGAAGUUAGAAGUUAGGGGCUCCUGCUUUUAAAAACACUGAACCCUGGAUUGGGGAAGGAUCUAGUAACCUUAGUUAAGCUAACAUGGGCAUCCUUGUAACUCCAUCCUGAGAGAUCCUCCUCACCUCAGUCCCCUCAUUUGGCUGUAACCCAGGGGUAACAAAAGUCACCUCACUGUGAUUCUCAGCCCUCUUUCUGGGAGAAGAGAAGGCUAGAGUGGCAGAGAGCCUAGGUCUAUGCCCACCAAAGGCGGAUUCGAGGCAUGGCACCAAACCAGAAUAUCCCAACUCCACUCCCUCCUGAGAGGGAGCACAUGGGCCUGGGGGGUCCUAUUCCCUGUCUGUAUCUACCAUGACCCACGAGUGGUCAGCACUGGGUAGUUGCAGAAAGGGGACUUGGUGCAAAUGACACAUAUGACAUAUAGUGUUUGCUCGGCCCUUCCCUUGGGUUCAGACCAAGUAUAGACAGCAUGUACCAGUGACAAUGGAUAGUUGCAAAGGCAAUGUAAUGAAGGGAAUUUUGGGGAACCAGGCCUCAAGAUAGAAGUACAUUGCUUCUAUCCCUGUGAGUGAUGUUCAUCUCUGUUCCCCAUCCCCCAAGCUACUUAUUUUCCCUUACAACAUCCCUUGUCUACAGGGAAGGUGUGUUGGCCCAUCCCUCUAGGGCAGAGAGAAGGGAAGAAGCAAUGUUAGAAGUCUGUUCUAGGGCCAGCUGACAAGCAGGGUUCAGAGCUGGAAGCUGGGGUGUGUAGUGCUACCCUCUCAUGCCCUGGCACACAAGUCUUUAAGGGGCUCUUUUGCUUUGGAGAUCCUGAUCUUUAAAGCAUAUCCUUGGGAAAGAGUCUCCCACCCCAUCUCUCUAGUCCCUUUAAAUCCUGUCUUAAAGUGAGGUCUUUUUUGUGGGCUCUGUUUGGCAGGAACAAAGAACACUGCUGUGUAGUGAGGGGAUUUCCAUCUCCAAGGGAGAGAAGACCUGGGCUUGGUUCUCGUUUGGACACAAACUAGCUGGAUAACUUUAGGUCUCCUCAUUGGUGAAAGGAAGGGUUGGAUGGGGUGACAGGCUAGGUCCUCCACUUAUCUCAGGGUUCGUUUUGUGUAAGUGCAAGUGCAGCCCAGGCUGCAUGUCCGUGGGUAGGAAGGCAACCCCAGCCCCUGACCCCUUCCCGUGGGUGGGGGGGGUCACCUGCCACCUGUUCCACUAUUGUUCUAACACGUGGUGCCCCAGAACACCAUCAGGGAACACUGUCAGUGGAGAAACCAGAGGAAGGCCUGCGUUCCACGUGGAGGAACUCAGGGCCACCCUGGGGACCUGCCUGGUGCCUCCCCCAGACCCUGAAGUAUGCCAGGAGAGAUGCCUGGGUCUGAGGUGGCUGCUGGAGAGAGACCGGGUUCUGAGCCUCCCAUUCUCAGCAGGGAUAAUUGCUGAACUCUGCCAGCCAAACACCUCGAAAGAGCUAAAAUGACUUUAAAUGCCUAAACAUUUAAAAACAAACCUUACAACACAGGCUUUUAUUUAUUUUUUUUUUUUUAGCCCAGUGCUAAAGCUCUUUCUCUGUCUCUCUCUGUGUCGCUUGCUCUUUUGGGGGGAAUUCAAAAGCCGUUUUAUGCCUCAUUACCUGCACACUGUGAGUGAUGUCUGUCGGUCCAUGUGCUGUAAAUACCUUAAAUCAUGCUUCAUUAAGAAUAUCUAUGGUGCUAUUAAAGAGCUAUAAUAGACAACGAGUUAACAGAUGAUUAAAGAUGAAUUCCAUUUGUGUCAGUCACCAGCCAGAGAGAGACGAGGGGCUGUAAGUUCUCAAUUCAUUAUCCAAGGGAGUGAAGCUCUCUCGGUGCCCCAUCCUGGAUUUGUGAGGAGUGGGAAGGCAGGGGAGGGCUGUCAGGAGUGGAGAUGGGCUGUGUGGUGGCGAGGUCAGCUGGACCGUGGGAGGAUGAGCAGGUGGGACCAGCCAAAGGGAACGUAAAGGGGGAAUCCUGAGGGGGCUCAGAGAAAGGCAUGUAUGUCAGGGGCUGUGCUGUCUGACAGCUGUCAGCUCUGCCUGGCUGUUUCCACGCACGUAGUCAAAUUCCACUUGGAGCCAUAAGAAACAGAUCAAUCUUGAAUGUCUGGUAGCCAGAGAAAAAUAGGCAAGUGGAAAGGAGGAGAGGGAGUCCCAAAGGUGGAGACACUGGUUUUCUGGUGGUAGCAGAGGCAGGUAGGAAGGAAGAAGUGUUUUUGGACAAGAAAAGAUGGGUGUCACCAAGAAAAAAAGGGUUUGGCAAAAAAAGAUGGGACUGUCGAGGUGGUAGAAUAGUUUCCCACUAAGAACUAUCCCUUAAAGGCAGAGAGGUGCACUGUCCCACCUCUGAUCUCUUCACAGAAGCGCCAGCACCGCUACUCCAGAGCCAGAGGAUCUCACUCCCCUUCGCCCUACUCUAGUCUGCCGGCAGAGCUCUGGAAAGCACCAGGUAGCAUAAUUCCCAGCCAGUGCUUGGGACCACACUGACUUUAGGCGGCAACAGAUGGGUAAUGCAGGGGCGCCUGGGACUCAGUCGGUUGAGCGUCCGACUCUUGAUUUCGGCUCAGGUCAUGAUCCCAGGGUCGUGGGAUGGAGCCCCAAGUAGGGCUCCACAAUGAGCAUGGAGCCUGCUCAAGAU
This is a long non-coding RNA of Acinonyx jubatus (cheetah), 3302 nucleotides long. RefSeq lists it as uncharacterized. Lineage: Eukaryota; Metazoa; Chordata; Mammalia; Carnivora; Felidae. The record is from RefSeq and is a predicted model, not a curated record. The transcript has 3 exons.